RNAcentral lists this transfer RNA (79 nucleotides) under Streptomyces smaragdinus. Its description in RNAcentral is "Streptomyces sp. RB5 tRNA-Thr". Lineage: Bacteria; Bacillati; Actinomycetota; Actinomycetes; Kitasatosporales; Streptomycetaceae. The record is from RNAcentral.
GGGAGCUGGGGCAGGCAUUCUUCGCUUCGGCGAUGGUGUCGCUGGUGAUCAGUGCGACGUUCGAUUCGUUGAGCUUUCC